This 1359-nucleotide ribosomal RNA is filed under the name uncultured bacterium. RNAcentral's name for it is "bacterial SSU rRNA". It matches the Rfam family "Bacterial small subunit ribosomal RNA", at positions 28 to 1381 of the family's 1533-position model. The record is from RNAcentral.
GAUGAACGCUAGCUACAGGCUUAACACAUGCAAGUCGAGGGGCAGCAUUUCAGUUUGCUUGCAAACUGGAGAUGGCGACCGGCGCACGGGUGAGUAACACGUAUCCAACCUGCCGAUAACUCGGGGAUAGCCUUUCGAAAGAAAGAUUAAUACCCGAUGGUAUAAUCAGACCGCAUGGUCUUGUUAUUAAAGAAUUUCGGUUAUCGAUGGGGAUGCGUUCCAUUAGGCAGUUGGUGAGGUAACGGCUCACCAAACCUUCGAUGGAUAGGGGUUCUGAGAGGAAGGUCCCCCACAUUGGAACUGAGGCACGGUCCAAACUCCUACGGGAGGCAGCAGUGAGGAAUAUUGGUCAAUGGGCGCAGGCCUGAACCAGCCAAGUAGCGUGAAGGAUGACUGCCCUAUGGGUUGUAAACUUCUUUUAUAUGGGAAUAAAGUUUUCCACGUGUGGAAUUUUGUAUGUACCAUAUGAAUAAGGAUCGGCUAACUCCGUGCCAGCAGCCGCGGUAAUACGGAGGAUCCGAGCGUUAUCCGGAUUUAUUGGGUUUAAAGGGAGCGUAGGUGGACAGUUAAGUCAGUUGUGAAAGUUUGCGGCUCAACCGUAAAAUUGCAGUUGAUACUGGCUGUCUUGAGUACAGUAGAGGUGGGCGGAAUUCGUGGUGUAGCGGUGAAAUGCUUAGAUAUCACGAAGAACUCCGAUUGCGAAGGCAGCUCACUGGACUGCAACUGACACUGAUGCUCGAAAGUGUGGGUAUCAAACAGGAUUAGAUACCCUGGUAGUCCACACAGUAAACGAUGAAUACUCGCUGUUUGCGAUAUACAGUAAGCGGCCAAGCGAAAGCAUUAAGUAUUCCACCUGGGGAGUACGCCGGCAACGGUGAAACUCAAAGGAAUUGACGGGGGCCCGCACAAGCGGAGGAACAUGUGGUUUAAUUCGAUGAUACGCGAGGAACCUUACCCGGGCUUAAAUUGCAUUUGAAUAUAUUGGAAACAGUAUAGCCGUAAGGCAAAUGUGAAGGUGCUGCAUGGUUGUCGUCAGCUCGUGCCGUGAGGUGUCGGCUUAAGUGCCAUAACGAGCGCAACCCUUAUCUUUAGUUACUAACAGGUCAUGCUGAGGACUCUAGAGAGACUGCCGUCGUAAGAUGUGAGGAAGGUGGGGAUGACGUCAAAUCAGCACGGCCCUUACGUCCGGGGCUACACACGUGUUACAAUGGGGGGUACAGAAGGCAGCUACCUGGUGACAGGAUGCUAAUCCCAAAAGCCUCUCUCAGUUCGGAUCGAAGUCUGCAACCCGACUUCGUGAAGCUGGAUUCGCUAGUAAUCGCGCAUCAGCCAUGGCGCGGUGAAUACGUUCCCGGGCCU